This 64-nucleotide transfer RNA is filed under the name Chloeia sp. r EEE-2022. RNAcentral describes it as "tRNA-Gly". It matches the Rfam family "tRNA". From Rfam's summary of the family: Transfer RNA (tRNA) molecules are approximately 80 nucleotides in length. Their secondary structure includes four short double-helical elements and three loops (D, anti-codon, and T loops). Further hydrogen bonds mediate the characteristic L-shaped molecular structure. tRNAs have two regions of fundamental functional importance: the anti-codon, which is responsible for specific mRNA codon recognition, and the 3' end, to which the tRNAs corresponding amino acid is attached (by aminoacyl-tRNA synthetases). tRNAs cope with the degeneracy of the genetic code in two manners: having more than one tRNA (with a specific anti-codon) for a particular amino acid; and 'wobble' base-pairing, i.e. permitting non-standard base-pairing at the 3rd anti-codon position. Lineage: Eukaryota; Metazoa; Annelida; Polychaeta; Eunicida; Amphinomidae. The record is from RNAcentral.
ACUACUUUAGUAUAAUUAGUACACCUGCCUUCCAAGCAGAAAGUUUGGAAAUUCAAAAGUAGUA